Molecule: long non-coding RNA, 1469 nt
Organism: Monodelphis domestica (gray short-tailed opossum)
Lineage: Eukaryota; Metazoa; Chordata; Mammalia; Didelphimorphia; Didelphidae
Source: RefSeq, a predicted model, not a curated record
GCCCGGGCUACUCCCAAGCCUCUAGCGCCUACGCUUCUCCAGCGGUUGUGGCCAUUGGGACCCAUGUCAGGGCUGGGAAGCCUCAGGACUAACCCCGCUAAUACCAAGCUUUUCCGAGGUCCACAUUCACUCGGGAACCCACACUUAACCUGAAAGAUGGAUGUGAGGAAUGAUGUAUCUGAAGGCUUGUAGAGGCAGAGUGCUUAAUGGUUCCAUCAGUUUUCCCAUUGCUAAGCCAGAAAGGAAACUAAGGCCUAGAGGGGCUAAGAUUUGCUCCAAAUCACCCAUGUUGGCAGUAAGAGAAAGAACCAGGUUUGGACCCAGAGCAAUCGGAGCUGGUGCCAACAGAAAGCAUGGAGAGAUGGAGCUUCCGAAGAAGGACACUGCCAUCACGUUUGGAAAGAGGAUGAACAUUGGGAUUUACAAUGGCAGUACUGUUCCUUGCUAUUGCUGACUGCUUACCCCCUCACCUUAUGUUAGAUGGACUAUUUGAAGCUAGAAGUAGUCAGAGGAGAAGGGGAGAAGUAUCAGUUCACACAAGUCUUCCCUGAUUUCUCAAAAUUGCCCCUUUAUUAAAUUUCUUGUAGCACAAAUAUUACACUAUAUCCACAUACCUUAAUUCAUUCAUCUAUUCCCCAAACAACAAGGAAACAAAAUUCCCUUAGUUUAGAGGUCUUGAUUAUAUUAAAAAAAAAAACCUGCUACAAAUUUAUUUUUAACUCCUUACCUUCUGUCUUAGCAUGUAUUGGUUCCAAGGUAGAAAAGUGGUAAGGGUUAGGCAAUGGGGGUUAAGUGACUUGGCCAGGGUCACACAACUAGGAAGUGUCUGAGGUCAAAUUUGAACCCAGGACCUGACUCUCAAUCCAUUGAUCCACCUUAGCUACCCCCUGCUAUAAAUAUUUUUGCAUAAGUGGGUUUCUUUCCUUUUUCUUUGACCUUUUUAAGGUUUAGGCAGGUUAUUGGUAUAGUAGGUCAACUGCUAUGCACAGCUUAAUGAUUUUUUUUGUACGUAGUUCCAAAUUGUUUUCUAGAAUGAUUGGAUCAAUUUAUAGCAUUACUAAUAAUAAUGCACUAGUAUGCCUAUUUUCCCAUAGUUUUUCUAGCAUUUGUCAUUUCCUCUUUUUUUUUGGUUAUCUUGGCCAAUCUGAUGAGUGUGAAGUGGAACUGCAGAAUUGCUGUAAUUCACAUUUAUCUAAUUAUUAGUGAUUUGGAGCUCUUUCUAUAUGACUAUUGAUUUCUUCUUUUGAAAACUUCCUGUUUGAAUCCUUUGACCAGUUAUAUAUGAAGAAUUGCCCUUACUUUUUAGAAAAUUGAAUCACUUCCAUAUCCAUAUUGGAUAUAAGAUUGUCUCUCCAUGAAAUGUCAAAGAUAUUUCUUCCCAAUUACCUAUUUCUUUUCUGAUUGUCACAGCAUUAAUUUCACUUGUACUAAAACUUUUUAACUUUAUGUAAAUGAAAUUGUCUAUUUCA